Molecule: small RNA, 347 nt
Filed under: Arabidopsis thaliana (thale cress)
Lineage: Eukaryota; Viridiplantae; Streptophyta; Magnoliopsida; Brassicales; Brassicaceae
Description: ATSL230580
Source: RNAcentral
AGAGAAGAAAGAUAUGCUCAAGAAGUUCAUGGCUCAGAAUCCUGGGAUGGACUUCUCUAAUGCAAAGUUUAACUGAUGAUCUUUAUCCAACUCUUCUUCGUUUAAGGCCCUGUUUGUUUGUCCAUCCACAUGAUCCAUCCAAAUGGAGAUGAAAAAUGAUGUUUGUUUUUGACAAUUUAACAAGCAUUUGGAUGGAUCAUCUGGAUGAUACAUCUGAAUGAGUAUCUAAAUUUAGGCAAAUUUAUGAAACUCAUUUGGAUGAAUUUGAUUAAACCAUUUGGAUGGAGAUGUUUCAUCCAAAAAUAACAAAAAACUAAUAUACCCUCAUUUAUAGUCAUAAUUUAAAU